This 495-nucleotide ribosomal RNA is filed under the name uncultured bacterium. Its description in RNAcentral is "bacterial SSU rRNA". It matches the Rfam family "Bacterial small subunit ribosomal RNA", at positions 30 to 520 of the family's 1533-position model. The record is from RNAcentral.
AUUGAACGCUGGCGGCAUGCCUUACACAUGCAAGUCGAACGGUAACGGGCCUUCGGGUGCCGACGAGUGGCGAACGGGUGAGUAAUGUAUCGGAACGUACCUUUCAGUGGGGGAUAACGUAGCGAAAGUUACGCUAAUACCGCAUAUUCUGUGAGCAGGAAAGCAGGGGAUCGCAAGACCUUGCGCUGAUUGAGCGGCCGAUAUCAGAUUAGCUAGUUGGUGAGGUAAAGGCUCACCAAGGCGACGAUCUGUAGCGGGUCUGAGAGGAUGAUCCGCCACACUGGAACUGAGACACGGUCCAGACUCCUACGGGAGGCAGCAGUGGGGAAUUUUGGACAAUGGGGGCAACCCUGAUCCAGCCAUGCCGCGUGAGUGAAGAAGGCCUUCGGGUUGUAAAGCUCUUUCGGCCGGGAAGAAAUCGUAUGGGUUAAUACCCUGUGCGGAUGACGGUACCGGCAUAAGAAGCACCGGCUAACUACGUGCCAGCAGCCGAAC